This 1151-nucleotide long non-coding RNA is filed under the name Vigna radiata. RNAcentral describes it as "long non-coding RNA (VRAD_LNC014023)". Lineage: Eukaryota; Viridiplantae; Streptophyta; Magnoliopsida; Fabales; Fabaceae. The record is from RNAcentral.
UUAUUUUCAAUUUAAAUCAAUGAACCAGCUGUUGCUACAAUCCAAAAAGAAAAUUUGCACAUGACAAUCCAAAACAGUGGCUGGAAAAGAGUAAAAUCUGCACCAGAAAAAAUACCCUGAUUUUGGUGGUUUAGAGUCCAAUUUCGUAUGGAAGUAUUUCAACAGCUCAUGUAAGCAUCCAAACAACUUUCUUUGAUGAUUUUAAGCAUGUUCAAACUUUUAAACAGUUUAGAAACUCGUUGCAAUUCAAUUUCACUGGUUCACUUCCAUUUUUAGCCCAAAAAUGAUGGUUUAAAAGGCUAUUCUGCAUAUAGAUUCAUUUUUGACCAAAUGAACAGUGCUAGCAACUUUCAAACAUCAAUUAAAGCUUUCUCAAGCUAUGAAACAGCAAAGAAACAACAGAUUUCCAAAAAUCACCACUGUUGUACCAUUUUAUGCAGUAAAAUGCACCAAAUCACCAACCAAAUUCAGUUUUAUGGAAUCAAAAGGCUGGACAGUUAUGAAAUUAACUCAAAGAAGUGUAAAUGCACUGAACUAAGCUAGAAUUAAGGUUCUUAGCAUGACCAAACUCAGAUUAAACCAAACCAGAUAUUAUAGCACGGUGAAAAGCUCGAUUGAAAAUUGAGACAGCAAAUUGCUAGUGUUUAGGCACAACCAAGCUAUGCAAAUUGCACUUCCUUGCUUAUAAUGGUUGGCUAUACUUUUAGCAUCAUUCAACAACAUCAACCAAACUUGUGCAAGGCACCAGAAUCAAAUAAAGCAAACUGAAACAGUUUUAAAAAAAUUUAAAACCAGAUCCAAAUUCUGCAUCAGAAUUCAAAGCAGAAAUCACAAUAGAUUUGCUUUUAGUGCUUCAGCUUGUAUUACCAAGGCUAGAUCUAGUCUUCAUUGCCUUAUUUGGUAUAUAUACAACUGGUUUAGCACUUGCCACUCAAUUAAAAUGAAUUAAACUCAGCAGAACAGAAAAACCAAAUAUAACAGAAUUAAAACUGCAGUGGUGUGCACAUGACCGUGACAGUACGGAACUUGAAAAUUGAAGCUGAAAAUGACUCAAGCAAUGGAUAUUCACCGUUUAAAAUGAUAAAAACAACAUGAAGACACAAUGGAAAUACAGGAAUCAGAACUGGAAUCACAAUUUAAGUACCAAAACA